UAGGAAUGAAGCCAUUAGCAAAGGAAAGAGAAAGACCUGAAUAACAAAUUUAGCUGAUUCUGAGGCAGAUUCUACUUCCUGUGUGCAGAAAAUUUACGAAGAAGCCAUGAAUCUCUGGAAACAUUCUGGAAACCUAGGAUUGAAGUAUAAAAUCUAUGGAGUUUCCUUCUGUCGCUGGCUGGAGUGCAAUGGCAUGAUCUUGGCUCACCACAACCUCCAGCUCCCGGAUUCAAGAGAUUCUCCUGCCUCAGCCUCCCAAGUAGCUGGGACUACAGAAUCAUGUUGUGAAGGUCAAGAACCGUGAAGAUGCUGAAAUUUUUACCCUACUUACGAAACCAACAUGUUAGUUCCGUGGAUGGAGUUCCACGAUGCUGGAAGAAGACAUGAACUCCUGGGUCAGAGAUAAAGGACUUUACUUAAGGAAGAGCAAGCAGCAAAGCAAGUUCCUUCCCUUUGAGAUUGCCAACAUUCUCAACAAGUAUCCCUGUGUGCUUUUGAUGAAGAGGAAGGAACAGUAUGGAAGAUUUCACAGGAUAUUCUGUGGUCAGGCCUGCAAGUACAUGCGUCACUUCUGCCCACAUUCAUAAGGACAGAGCUAAGUCUCAUAAAUACAAGGAAGGUGAAAAUGUGAUUUAACUGUAUGCCUAGCACAGAAAGGAGAAUCAGAAUCCCUGCCACAUUUUCUAAUGUAACUACAUUAUGGUCAUAACAUGUGUUCUGUAUGAUAUCAGUUCUUUGAAAAAUUUAAGACACAGCCCAUUUUUGCAAGUGUUUUUUUGUGUGUGUUGGAAAAUAAUGUAUAUUUUCCAAUUACUAAAUGCAAGUGUCUGUAUAUGUAUAUCAACUAAAUCAAAGUUGUUGAUUUUAUUGUUCAAAUUAUUUGCAUCCUAUUGGUUUUCCUUACCUACUUUAUGCAUUAAUAGCUAAGAGAUAUGUAUUAAAAAUUUCCCACAGUGUUGGUGGAUUUGUCAAUUUCUCCAUAGGUUUUAAAAUUUAUAUGCAAUUUAUUUUGAGGCUAUGAUAUUAAACAAUGUAAAUUUGCAAAUGUGAUCUCUUUUUAUUAUAUUCUUUAUUUUUAUAGAGUUCUCUUAUUAGUAUUUUUUUCCUUUAAAGAAUAUUUUGACUGAUAUUAAUUAUGGUCAUAUUACUUUUUUUUUUUGGUUAAAUUUGCCGGGUUCUCCUUCUGAAACUUUGAUUAGAUAUUUUGGACUUUCUCACUCUAUUCUUCUUGUGUCUUCAACUCUUUUAAAAUAUUUUGCAUCUUUUUAUCUCUAUUGCUUUAUUCUUUUUCUUCUUUUGCAGAAGAACAUUCCAUUUUAUUAAUUCUCUACUCCAUUGUAUCCAAGUUAUUUAACCUUUACAUUGAAUUUUUACUUUUAAUUAUUAUACUUUUUACUUCUAGGAGAACUUUGCCCUCAAAUUCUGCCUGAUUUCUUGCUGAUUAGUCAUAUUUUUACCUCUUUCUUGUUUAAAAAAUUUUUUUCCUUAAACACAUAAUUUUUCUAAAAAAUUUAUAAUAUAUUCCCUAUAUUUGUACAUUUCCAAUAUUCAAGUUUCUGUUGUUUAUUAUUUCUGUGACACUUGCAUGCAAUGGCUUAGUUCAAAUGUAUUUUGUGAUUUUUUAAAAUUGAUUCUGAAGUUGUAUUCGCAAUAAAACACAAUCCUUUGCACUUUUCUAAUAAAUACCAAGGUUGUGGA
RNAcentral lists this long non-coding RNA (1698 nucleotides) under Homo sapiens (human). RNAcentral's name for it is "HSALNT0076834". The record is from RNAcentral. Lineage: Eukaryota; Metazoa; Chordata; Mammalia; Primates; Hominidae.